GGGCCGCUAGCUCAGAUGGUAGAGCAACGCCCUUUUAAGGCGUGGGUCGAAGGUUCGAGUCCUUCGCGGCUCA
Molecule: transfer RNA, 73 nt
Filed under: Nitrospinota bacterium
Lineage: Bacteria; Pseudomonadati; Nitrospinota
Description: tRNA-Lys
Rfam family: tRNA
About the family: Transfer RNA (tRNA) molecules are approximately 80 nucleotides in length.
Source: RNAcentral